RNAcentral lists this ribosomal RNA (632 nucleotides) under uncultured bacterium. RNAcentral's name for it is "bacterial SSU rRNA". The stretch from base 1 to 536 matches the Rfam family "Bacterial small subunit ribosomal RNA", at positions 338 to 873 of the family's 1533-position model. The record is from RNAcentral.
CCUACGGGAGGCAGCAGUAAGGAAUAUUGGACAAUGGACGCAAGUCUGAUCCAGCCAUGCCGCGUGAAGGAUUAAGGCCCUCUGGGUUGUAAACUUCUUUUAUAGGGGACGAAAAAAGGGCUUUCUAGCUCGACUGACGGUACCCUAUGAAUAAGCACCGGCUAACUCCGUGCCAGCAGCCGCGGUAAUACGGAGGGUGCAAGCGUUAUCCGGAUUCACUGGGUUUAAAGGGUGCGUAGGCGGGUAGGUAAGUCAGUGGUGAAAUCUUCGAGCUCAACUCGGAAACUGCCAUUGAUACUAUUUAUCUUGAAUAUUGUGGAGGUGAGCGGAAUAUGUCAUGUAGCGGUGAAAUGCUUAGAUAUGACAUAGAACACCAAUUGCGUAGGCAGCUCGCUACACAUAUAUUGACGCUGAGGCACGAAAGCGUGGGGAUCAAACAGGAUUAGAUACCCUGGUAGUCCACGCCCUAAACUAUGAUUACUCGACAUAUGCGAUACACUGUAUGUGUGUGAGACGAAGACGAGUAAGUAAGUACCGUACCGUUACGGAAGUAACGACCGACGAGGUUAGGUUAACGUUAAAGGUAAGUUAGACGGACGNGAGACGCGCGACGGACGACGACGAGGAGGAGG